This 302-nucleotide small RNA is filed under the name Jaculus jaculus (lesser Egyptian jerboa). RNAcentral's name for it is "7SK RNA (ENSJJAG00000006697.1)". It matches the Rfam family "7SK RNA". Rfam says of the family: 7SK was discovered as an abundant small nuclear RNA in the mid-70s but a possible function has only recently been suggested. Two independent studies have found that 7SK RNA binds the CDK9/cyclin T complex (known as elongation factor P-TEFb). P-TEFb activates transcription by phosphorylating the C-terminal domain of RNA polymerase II. The record is from Rfam by way of RNAcentral. Lineage: Eukaryota; Metazoa; Chordata; Mammalia; Rodentia; Dipodidae.
GGAUGUGAAAGUCACCUGGCUACAAAUUCUGUGACCCUCUGAUCCCAAGGUUUCUGGGACUGAUCUGAUGGAUAGGGGGCUGUCUCCUUCCUAGCUGCUGCACGUGUGACCCUCUAAAAAACUGCAGACUCAGUUGGAGCCCACCUCCCCUAAUAAGGAGGGUCAUUCUUCCAGCAAGGGUUUAGAAGCAACUGCAUUCUCAUUCUAGAACUGCCAGCCAGACUCUCAAAAAAUAUGGCUCCUUGGGCUGGAGAGGUGGCUGCAGUUUAGGUGCUUGCCUGCAAAGCCAAAGGACCCAGUUU